RNAcentral lists this ribosomal RNA (455 nucleotides) under uncultured bacterium. RNAcentral's name for it is "bacterial SSU rRNA". It matches the Rfam family "Bacterial small subunit ribosomal RNA", at positions 501 to 956 of the family's 1533-position model. The record is from RNAcentral.
CUUCGUGCCAGCAGCCGCGGUAAUACGAGGGGUGCAAGCGUUAUUCGGAAUAACUGGGCGUAAAGAGCGCGUAGGCGGCUUGUUAAGUCUGUUGUUAAAUUGCCCGGCUUAACCGGGAAUCGGCAAUAGAAACUGGCGAGCUAGAGGACAAGAGAGAGAAGUGGAAUUCUCGGAGUAGCGGUAAAAUGCGUAGAUCUCGAGAGGAACACCGAUGGCGAAGGCAGCUUCUUGGCUUGUAUCUGACGCUCAAGUGCGAAAGCGUGGGGAGCAAACAGGAUUAGAUACCCUGGUAGUCCACGCCCUAAACUAUGUCAACUAGUUGUCGGGCCUUAUUAGGUUUGGUAACGUAGCUAACGCGUGAAGUUGACCGCCUGGGGAGUACGGUCGCAAGAUUAAAACUCAAAGGAAUUGACGGGGACCCGCACAAGCGGUGGAUUAUGUGGAUUAAUUCGAUG